Molecule: long non-coding RNA, 1087 nt
Organism: Poecilia latipinna (sailfin molly)
Lineage: Eukaryota; Metazoa; Chordata; Actinopteri; Cyprinodontiformes; Poeciliidae
Exons: 4
Source: RefSeq, a predicted model, not a curated record
GAGAAGUAGAGGUCCGAGAGACGAAGCAGGAAACCAUCAGAGAUUCAACAUGAAGACCAGUCGCAUCUUUUUCUGCUUCAUUGUAGUCUCUCUGCAGGUUGGGAACAGUGGUUCUUUCAAGGAAAUUAACCAUUACUAUCGGCUACCUGGAGAAGACCUCUCCAUUACAUGCUCUCUCUCACCUGGACCAAGGCGGAUUUUCUGCAGAGAAAACUGUCAAGGAGAAAACGUUCUUAUUAACACAACGUCUAAUAAAGAAACAAGUGGAAGAAACAGCAUUGAAUAUUCUGAAAGAGUUCAUGACAAGUCUUAUAAUUUAACUGUGAGAGUUUCUAAUGUGACCCACUCUGACUCUGGACUGUACAGAUGUGGUCUGAGCGACUCUCCUUCUACAUUCGUAAAAUUCAAAGCUGUUGUUGCAGAAGCUCUGCUGGAUGGAAGCAAAGAUCAUCACCUCUAUAAAGACGCUGGCAGCUCUCUGACAGUCGCCUGUUCCUUUGGUUUCUGGGGAAGAAACAAAUCCUUCUGCAGAGGAGGAUGUGGAGCAGAUGAAGUUCUGGUUCAGACUGAUGGAGUCAGAGCUGAAAGCAGCAGAUACAAGAUGGAAUAUGAAGAACAAAAGUCAGGAACAGUUCUGAUGGUGACCAUCACACAGCUGAUCCAGACUGACUCCGGAUGGUACCAGUGUAAACUGGAUGGAAAUGGUUCGAUAAGUUCAUACAGAGAUUUUCAUGUCACGGUCAGAACUGGUGAGUUUUUACUGGUGUUAAAAUGUCCCUAAUAUUGUAAUGGUGGUAAUGUGUACAUGACCUCAUGUCAUAUCUUAAACCCAUCUGAGUUUUUACUAUGCAGAUUUGUUCAGCACCAAUCUUGAGUCUUGUUUGGUUAUUUUCCAGCAGUCGUCUCAUCAGCCUCCACUCCAACAGCAAGUUUCACUCCUGCAGCAUCUCAGCUCCCUUCCAGUCUCUAUGUUCCUGUGAUCGUUGGUGUGACUCUGGCUGCCAUGGUGGUUCUGGUCUCAGCAGCUCUGCUGGUUUCCUGCAGGAGACGAUCUCUGAGAGGUGAGACACCAACUAACACCAGCACU